AAUCCAUAGGUUAAUGAGGCGAACCGGGGGAACUGAAACAUCUAAGUACCCCGAGGAAAAGAAAUCAACCGAGAUUCCCCCAGUAGCGGCGAGCGAACGGGGAGGAGCCCAGAGCCUGAAUCAGCAUGUGUGUUAGUGGAAGCGUCUGGAAAGGCGCGCGAUACAGGGUGACAGCCCCGUACACAAAAGCGCAUGUGCUGUGAGCUCGAUGAGUAGGGCGGGACACGUGGUAUCCUGUCUGAAUAUGGGGGGACCAUCCUCCAAGGCUAAAUACUCCUGACUGACCGAUAGUGAACCAGUACCGUGAGGGAAAGGCGAAAAGAACCCCGGCGAGGGGAGUGAAAAAGAACCUGAAACCGUGUACGUACAAGCAGUGGGAGCACCCUUUGGGUGUGACUGCGUACCUUUUGUAUAA
This 415-nucleotide ribosomal RNA is filed under the name Salmonella enterica. RNAcentral describes it as "partial 23S ribosomal RNA". It matches the Rfam family "Bacterial large subunit ribosomal RNA", at positions 161 to 615 of the family's 2925-position model. Lineage: Bacteria; Pseudomonadati; Pseudomonadota; Gammaproteobacteria; Enterobacterales; Enterobacteriaceae. The record is from RNAcentral. RNAcentral also lists the same sequence under 2 other names.